UACGAGGGGGGCGAGCGUUGUUCGGAAUUAUUGGGCGUAAAGGGUGCGUAGGCGGCCUGACAAGUCUGAUGUGAAAUCCCUGGGCUCAACCCAUAGUCUGCAGGCGAAACUGUCGGGCUUGAGUAUGGGAGAGGUGAGUGGAAUUUCCGGUGUAGCGGUGAAAUGCGUAGAUAUCGGAAGGAACACCUGUGGCGAAAGCGGCUCACUGGACCAUUACUGACGCUGAUGCACGAAAGCUAGGGGAGCAAACAGG
This 253-nucleotide ribosomal RNA is filed under the name uncultured bacterium. RNAcentral describes it as "partial 16S ribosomal RNA". It matches the Rfam family "Bacterial small subunit ribosomal RNA", at positions 524 to 776 of the family's 1533-position model. The record is from RNAcentral.